GUAACUGUCAUAUUUACUGAAUACCUUGAAAUAGGGAUACUAUAUCUUAAGAACCUUAAAUUUGAAAAUUCUGGAAUACAAUUAACAAAAAACCGUAUUUAGUAUAGUCCGGAAAAUAUUCACUUAACUGAUAAAUAAUUAACUUUCUGUAGCGUAAUCUUGGUCUACUCCAUGGUAACAAUUCACUGAUGAAUUUAACUUUUAGGAUUAAACAAAGGCAUAUCAAAAACAAGAAUAACUCCAUUGUAAACAAAAAACUCAUCAGAAUAUUGAAUAUUCUAUUGCGAUAAAACUUUUGUACAAUUGUUUGAUAAUAAAAUGGAGAAUUCCGAUCCAAUUAAAAAAUCUAGAGUUGAUUUAUCUUCAUUGCCCACAAGGCAAUAUUUAGAUCAAACCAUAGUGCCUAUAUUGUUGAGUGCCCUUUCAUAUCUUGCUAAAGAACGACCUGAUGAACCCAUUGCUGCAUUAGCAUCAUUUCUAAUGAAGAAUAAAUCAGCUUAUGAAAGUAGUUCCGAAACAUCAACCUCAAUUAAUGAAGCAAAUAACAGUGAAGAGAAAUCUUGAAUCAUAAAGACAUUCAUGUGAAAAUCUAAUACAUUUCAUUUAUUCAAAUGCUUAAUGUUUAAUUUUUAAAGUUUAUAAUCUGAAUUAAAAUGAAGAAGAAGCAGUA
Molecule: long non-coding RNA, 670 nt
Organism: Diorhabda carinulata
Lineage: Eukaryota; Metazoa; Arthropoda; Insecta; Coleoptera; Chrysomelidae
Exons: 2
Source: RefSeq, a predicted model, not a curated record